GGCUCAGAAUCAACGCUGGCGGCGCGCUUAACACAUGCAAGUCGAACGAGAAAGCCGGGGCAACCUGGUGAGUAAAGUGGCGUACGGGUGAGUAACACGUGGGUAAUCUACCUUCUGGUGGGGAAUAACCCUGGGAAACCGGGGCUAAUACCGCAUAACCCCGCAAGGGAAAAGUAGCAAUACGCCGGAAGAGGAGCCCGCGGCCGAUUAGCUAGUUGGUAGGGUAACGGCCUACCAAGGCAACGAUCGGUAGCCGGCCUGAGAGGGCACACGGCCACACUGGCACUGAAACACGGGCCAGACUCCUACGGGAGGCAGCAGUGGGGAAUCUUGCACAAUGGGGGAAACCCUGAUGCAGCGACGCCGCGUGAGCGAUGAAGCCCUUCGGGGUGUAAAGCUCUUUCGGCAGGAACGAUAAUGACGGUACCUGCAGAAGAAGCUGCGGCUAACUACGUGCCAGCAGCCGCGGUAAUACGUAGGCAGCAAGCGUUGUUCGGAGUUACUGGGCGUAAAGAGUGCGUAGGUGGUUCUCUAAGUUCGGUGUGAAAUCUCCCGGCUCAACUGGGAGGGUGCGCCGAAAACUGGAGGGCUUGAGUGCGGGAGAGGAGAGCGGAAUUCCUGGUGUAGCGGUGAAAUGCGUAGAUAUCAGGAGGAACACCUGUGGUGCAGACGGCUCUCUGGACCGCCACUGACACUGAGGCACGAAAGCGUGGGGAGCAAACAGGAUUAGAUACCCUGGUAGUCCACGCCCUAAACGAUGCAUACUUGGUGUGGGUCAUUCAGUUGAUCCGUGCCGGAGCUAACGCGUUAAGUAUGCCGCCUGGGGAGUACGGUCGCAAGGCUGAAACUCAA
RNAcentral lists this ribosomal RNA (852 nucleotides) under uncultured bacterium. RNAcentral's name for it is "bacterial SSU rRNA". It matches the Rfam family "Bacterial small subunit ribosomal RNA", at positions 21 to 904 of the family's 1533-position model. The record is from RNAcentral.